RNAcentral lists this ribosomal RNA (253 nucleotides) under uncultured bacterium. RNAcentral's name for it is "partial 16S ribosomal RNA". It matches the Rfam family "Bacterial small subunit ribosomal RNA", at positions 524 to 776 of the family's 1533-position model. The record is from RNAcentral.
UACGGAGGGUGCAAGCGUUAAUCGGAAUUACUGGGCGUAAAGCGUGCGUAGGCGGUUCGUUAAGUCUGUUGUGAAAGCCCCGGGCUCAACCUGGGAAUGGCAAUGGAUACUGGCGAGCUAGAGUGUGUCAGAGGAUGGUGGAAUUCCCGGUGUAGCGGUGAAAUGCGCAGAUAUCGGGAAGAACACCAGUGGCGAAAGCGCUCUACUGGGCCAUAACUGACACUGAGGGACGAAAGCUAGGGGAGCGAAAGGG